This 508-nucleotide long non-coding RNA is filed under the name Gossypium barbadense (sea-island cotton). Its description in RNAcentral is "long non-coding RNA (GBAR_LNC020290)". Lineage: Eukaryota; Viridiplantae; Streptophyta; Magnoliopsida; Malvales; Malvaceae. The record is from RNAcentral.
GAUGGAAUAGUUGUAACAAACCUAAUGAUCUAUUUUUUUUAACAGAAAAAAGUCCACUGAUCAUUAAUAGUAAUAAACCACCCUCUGACUCAGUAAUUACUACCCUCUCAUCCCUAUUGGCCAAUAAGGCUGGUGCAGCCUAAUCGAAGAAAAACAAAAACCACACAAAAAUUAAAAUGAUAAGUCAUUUGAAAAAAAACCAAAACAAAAUAAAACCUAACAAUAAAACAGAGGGCAGUUGAAACAAUUUCCAUUUCUUUCCCAAAAAUCCGAUUCAACCAGUGGGUAAUUCGGCAAUCCAAUCUUGCAAUCUUCCUUUUUUUAUGAGUAGCUGAUAGUCCUGAUUGCUUGUUUCCUUGCCGAUCCAUAACUCAUCAGGAUUUUUAAACUCAUUUUCCCCGAUUUCAUUCCGCAUUUUUCUCAUUUCCAUCCAUCAGCCUUCGUCGUCUAUCCUCCGCAACCACCUCUUCCACUCUCGCCGGAGCCUCUUCGACCCAGUACCUGGCCG